RNAcentral lists this ribosomal RNA (775 nucleotides) under uncultured bacterium. RNAcentral describes it as "bacterial SSU rRNA". It matches the Rfam family "Bacterial small subunit ribosomal RNA", at positions 28 to 805 of the family's 1533-position model. The record is from RNAcentral.
GAUGAACGCUGGCGGCGUGCUUAACACAUGCAAGUCGAGCGAAGCGGCUGAAUUGAUUCUUCGGAUGAUUUUCAGUUGACUGAGCGGCGGACGGGUGAGUAACGCGUGGGUGACCUGCCCCAUACCGGGGGAUAACAGCUGGAAACGGCUGCUAAUACCGCAUAAGCGCACAGAGCUGCAUGGCUCGGUGUGAAAAACUCCGGUGGUAUGGGAUGGUCCCGCGUCUGAUUAGGCAGUUGGCGGGGUAACGGCCCACCAAACCGACGAUCAGUAGCCGGCCUGAGAGGGCGACCGGCCACAUUGGGACUGAGACACGGCCCAAACUCCUACGGGAGGCAGCAGUGGGGAAUAUUGCACAAUGGGGGAAACCCUGAUGCAGCGACGCCGCGUGAGCGAAGAAGUAUUUCGGUAUGUAAAGCUCUAUCAGCAGGGAAGAUAAUGACGGUACCUGACUAAGAAGCCCCGGCUAACUACGUGCCAGCAGCCGCGGUAAUACGUAGGGGGCAAGCGUUAUCCGGAUUUACUGGGUGUAAAGGGAGCGUAGACGGCAAGGCAAGUCUGAUGUGAAAACCCAGGGCUUAACCCUGGGACUGCAUUGGAAACUGUCUGGCUCGAGUGCCGGAGAGGUAAGCGGAAUUCCUAGUGUAGCGGUGAAAUGCGUAGAUAUUAGGAAGAACACCAGUGGCGAAGGCGGCUUACUGGACGGUAACUGACGUUGAGGCUCGAAAGCGUGGGGAGCAAACAGGAUUAGAUACCCUGGUAGUCCACGCCGUAA